GUGGUAUGAGAUGGACCCGCGUCUGAUUAGCUGGUUGGCGGGGUAACGGCCCACCAAGGCGACGAUCAGUAGCCGACCUGAGAGGGUGGCCGGCCACAUUGGGACUGAGACACGGCCCAAACUCCUACGGGAGGCAGCAGUGGGGAAUAUUGCACAAUGGGGGAAACCCUGAUGCAGCAACGCCGCGUGAGUGAAGAAGUAUUUCGGUAUGUAAAGCUCUAUCAGCAGGGAAGAAAAAAGACGGUACCUGACUAAGAAGCCCCGGCUAACUACGUGCCAGCAGCCGCGGUAAUACGUAGGGGGCAAGCGUUAUCCGGAUUUACUGGGUGUAAAGGGAGCGUAGACGGCAUAGCAAGUCUGAAGUGAAAGCCCGUGGCUCAACCGCGGAACUGCUUUGGAAACUGUUAAGCUGGAGUACUGGAGAGGCAAGCGGAAUUCCUAGUGUAGCGGUGAAAUGCGUAGAUAUUAGGAGGAACACCAGUGGCGAAGGCGGCUUGCUGGACAGAGACUGACGUUGAGGCUCGAAAGCGUGGGGAGCAAACAGGAUUAGAUACCCUGGUAGUCCACGCGGU
RNAcentral lists this ribosomal RNA (572 nucleotides) under uncultured bacterium. RNAcentral describes it as "bacterial SSU rRNA". It matches the Rfam family "Bacterial small subunit ribosomal RNA", at positions 215 to 803 of the family's 1533-position model. The record is from RNAcentral.